RNAcentral lists this ribosomal RNA (294 nucleotides) under Thalassiosira antarctica. RNAcentral describes it as "partial Bacterial large subunit ribosomal RNA". It matches the Rfam family "Bacterial large subunit ribosomal RNA", at positions 861 to 1154 of the family's 2925-position model. The record is from RNAcentral. Lineage: Eukaryota; Bacillariophyta; Thalassiosirophyceae; Thalassiosirales; Thalassiosiraceae.
GAAAUCUAUUUAGGUAGAGCGUCACGUAUUACCCACGGGGGUAGAGCACUGUUAAGGCUAGGGGGUCAUCCCGACUUACCAACCCUUUGCAAACUCCGAAUACCGUGGAGUACAGCGUGGCAGACACACUGCGGGUGCUAACGUCCGUAGUGAAAAGGGAAACAACCCAGACCGUCAGCUAAGGUCCCAAAGUUACAGUUAAGUGGGAAACGAUGUGGGAAGGCUCAGACAGCUAGGAGGUUGGCUUAGAAGCAGCCACCCUUUAAAGAAAGCGUAAUAGCUCACUAGUCGAGU